GUGGGUAUAGCUCAGUGGUAAAAAGCAUGCUUAGCAUGUAGGAGGUCCUGGGUUCAAUCCCCAGUACCUCUU
RNAcentral lists this transfer RNA (72 nucleotides) under Camelus bactrianus (Bactrian camel). It matches the Rfam family "tRNA". From Rfam's summary of the family: Transfer RNA (tRNA) molecules are approximately 80 nucleotides in length. Their secondary structure includes four short double-helical elements and three loops (D, anti-codon, and T loops). RNAcentral also lists the same sequence under 2 other names. Lineage: Eukaryota; Metazoa; Chordata; Mammalia; Artiodactyla; Camelidae. The record is from Rfam by way of RNAcentral.